GACAAGAUCCUUCAAGGAGGUCUUGGUCUGCCCAAGAGAUGAAGGCAUUCGCAGAUAACUUCAAUUAAUUCAGAACUGAAUGCACCUCCAGUGGCACUGAGCAUUGUUUUGGAUGUCAAGUGCCCGGCCAGGGGAAAGGGCACUGAGGAGGGAGCCAUUUGUUGUUCCUUUUGAGGAGAAAGGUUCACCAAGGAAGUGAUGUCAGAGGCAGGCCUGGAAUUUCCACCAAUGGUAGGAUGGCAUUGCCAGGAAGGCAAAGAGCAGAAGCAAAGACCUCGAGGCGUCAACGUGCCCAGGAUGUUGGACAUAUGUCUUGCAGUGACUGGGGUAGAGGGUGAGGCAGAGAUACCGGAGAUGAGGGCAAAAAGAGAAGCAGAUAAAGGAGGGGUGUGGUCCCAGCCUCCCGAGAGCAAAAAGAUCAUUAAGAGAAUGAGCUGGCAAGUUGGAAGUGAGGUAAGGAGGGAAUGUCUUGUGGCAUUGGUUUUCUAUUUAAAUCUCCCCAUCCAUUUCUAGUCUGGCGUCCUUUGCCAGGAAGCCGUAGGUCCUCAGCUGCAUCUGUAGAGUGCAACUGGGUCCUCAGGCAUUGCAGGCUGCUGAGUCAGCGCUUCAGGCGUCACACUGGGAUUUGCCCAGGGGCUGUGGGGAACAGAGAGAUGCGGUGUGAUCCGGAGACCUAGGUCUGAGUCCCAGCCUGCCGCCUGAAACAUUUGACUUGUCCUCUCUGGGGGCCAGUAUUUUCCUACAUGGCAUGAGGAGUUGGGACCAGGGCUUCUAUAUUCUGCCCUCGAGAAGCUGCCCCUGUAGCUACACAGUGAAAGCCAAGGCACAGGAAGGAAUCUGAAACAAGGCUGGGGGAAUUGUUGGAAACAUCUCAGAAGGUAAGCCCCAGGCAGUUGGAGGGUUGACACACGUGCUCUGGGUCAAUGUGGGCAGAAAGUGGUCCCAGACCCUGAAUGUGAUCACCACAGACAAGCAGUCUAGACAAAGACGUCUUGUGAGACUGUGCCUCUGUGGGCUGAGUUGGGCCUGAAACUCAGAAGUAGGGAUGAGAUGAGAGCUCCACUGACAUUUCCUGAGAACUUAAGGGAAAGGGAAGGAGAAGAGGAUUGAAGUGAAUAGGGCAUAUGGCACACACCUUCUCGGUUAUUACCAUCUAGCCUCUCAAUAAUCCAGGAUGGGUGUCAUCAUCACCAUUUUUUGCAGACAGAGAAACCAUGUUCAGAGAGGUUAAGAGACUUGCCCAAUGUCACACAGCUAGUUUGAGGCAGGGCGAGAUUCAAACCUAGGUCUGCCUGACUCCAUGCUCAGUGUCAUCUGCUCUUGGUCAUUUCUGGUUCAUUGUCCUUUUCCAUAAUGCAGCUUUUCAGUCUAAUGGGUGGUGAAAUAUUUCCUUAAUUUCUCCCUUGAGCAUAUCUCACAAAAAGGAGCUGACCAGAACUUUGUGAUUCAAGGCCAGAUACAUUAUGACCUCUUCUUGCAAAAAAUGUGCUAACAAUCCCAGUCACCUCCAGGUCCCUGUGAAGGCUACUGAAAUGCUCUAAAUGAAUAGAGUUCACCUCUUUAAAAGGAAAAGUCCACCUGAGGGCUUCCCUCCACCCUCUACUAAUAAUAAUGACACCAAGCAAAACAUACUUCCUGUUAGCUCCAAGGUAAAUGUCCCCUGGAUCCUAGAAGGAAAGGUCACUAGGGAUUCACUUCCACAUUUGUUGUAAAACCAGGACUUUUUUAUUGCACAUAUAACCUUUCCUAAAACCACAAGGGCAAAAUUUCAAUCAGGAUUUAGUGCCCAGAAAAAACUAAAACUGGAAGGCACUGCAUCUUCCCCAAGGAACUGGCAAGCAUCUUCCUUGCUAAUAAGAAGAGCUCCGUAACUGAUCAGUCUUCCCUUCUUGCACAGGUUGCCAGGAAGCUCAGAGCCAAAUUCCACCUUCUAACAGCUUUGGCAGUUGCAUCCUUCUUAUUACUGCUUUACUGUUUCUAAUCCUACUGUCUCAGCCUUGUUUUCUCUGCCUUUUAUUAAAGAUGUUCCCCUUUUUAAUGGUAAGAGAUAAAUGCUUUAAAUAAAUCCACAUUUGGAAGAGCUGCUGAAGGGACCUGGAUUCCACAGGCCUUAUGUUAAGCCAGGCACAGUUCUGUUCUGGUCUUGUCCAUUCGCCCAACAGCUGAGGGAUCCGUCUCUUGGAAAGAAGGAGGGACUGGCUUAAGACCAAGGAAUUGCUCAUCUAGCUGCUGACAGUGGCUAAGAUCAAAAUGCCGUGGGUCAGAUCAUUGUUGCCAUUUUUUGCUCUACUGACAAGCAGCUUGCCUUGUUCCUGCCAGCUCCCUGGGAGGCCCAAACCACUAUCCCCUAUCUGUGCUCCAGAAAAUCUCCCCCAUUAGUCCCUCCUAUUGAGGCAUGGAAAGGUGGGGAGGUAUGGGAAUAGUGGCAUGGGAGUGAGGGAGCAGCCCUAGAUCAUGAGGACAGGGAAGGCAUCUCUGAGGAGGUGGCAUUUCGGUGGGGGUCUUGCUAGAUACAAAGGAGCCAGCCCCACUGAGAGUUGAGUAGCAGAAUUUCUGGGCAGGGGACACAGCUAGUGCAAAGGCCCUGAGCAGGAUGGAAUUGGCUUGUUCUAUGAAGUGGUAGAAGACUAGUGUGCCCGGGGUGCAGUGUGGCAAGAAGGACAAGAAGCAGAUGUGGGGAGAAGUGGGUGGGAUCUCCGCCAGCCUUUUCCAGUUUGGAUUUCUUUGAAGUGCAGUGAAAGCCACUGGUUAUUUUAAAGCUGGAGAGACCCAGAACUUGAUUUGUUUUCAUGAGAUCACCUUGGUUGCCAUCUGGAUGAUAAACAUUUACUGAGUCCCAGUGAGUUUGUAGGCAUGCUCAUAAACCAUCUCAUUGAAUUAUCCCUGAAUUCUAGAUGACAUUGAAGCAAACAUGUCUCUUUUUUCUGGCUCCCCAGCAUCUGAUUCCCCUUCCAGUGGCUGGAGAGCAUCCCACCUUCUGACCCUUGGGGAGAAGCAGAGUGUGCCCUUUCCCUGCCCACUGGAUACGCUGAAACAACGAAAACUCCCUUCCCCGGCCUCCCUGCAGUAAGUCAAAGAUGGUGUCGAAAAUGGUGAAAUCAAGAACUAGAAUUAUGAAGAUUUAAAAACAGAAGAAACACCUCCCAGAGUUGCAAGUGGUCACCUGUCCCAGAGAGCUGGUGAGAUGAGAUGGGGAGGCGUCAGCUGAGUUUUAUGGUAAGUCCUGGGGAACCACUGGACGUCGAAAACUAUAAACCUUUUAUUAAAAAUAAAGUUAUGGAAAUAGAAAAAAAAGGGGGGGGGGGAAUCUGACUCUUAGAUUGCAAUCUGGGGAACUGAUUGUCUUCUCCAAGAUUUCUGCCACCCAGGAGCCGAACCAGUGGUUUCUGGGCAACUCAGAAAGGCGCCUCUUGUUUGGGACACUUUACUGCCAUCUGCUGGACAACUGAAGUAAUACCUUUACAAAUGGGUGACGGAAUGGGUGUGAAGCUCCUCGCACCCGGCACCUGGUUUAUGUCCUGCACCACUUGUAUAGAGCAAGCGAGGCCUUGCAAUUGGUGGCCACCGGUCCAGGACACUCCUGAAGGGGCUUUGUUUGGUGAGGCUGUUGCACCAGGGAGGCCAGAGCGGCAGCGGCCUGUCUUCCUUCUGGGCACUUUAGCCCCCAGGUCGGAGGAGAGCUCCUUGGCAGUUCCAGCUCAUAGAUGAUUGGGUCCGGCUGCAUGUUGAUUUCAGGGUCUUUCUCCUACCUGGCCCCACCAGUGACUGGCUUAGAAGAAAUUCCUCAAACUCCUACCUGACCCUUCAGAAAAAUUGUAAUGCUAUCUAAAUCCCCCACCUUUCACCCCCACGCCUGUUUUACAUUUUCCUCGUGAUUUCAAUCAGGGUUGGGGGUGACAUGUGGGCAAGCCAGAUCUCCAUAAGGGCGUUGUACUCAGGGCCUUCAUUUUUCUGACUCCGAAUUUUAGCUGCCACUUCUUGGGUCUGCAUGAGGACUAGUCGUUCUUGGAAGAAAAAGCUGCCCCCCACCCAAGAAAGGAGAUGAAAAAUUCUUUGUGUGAAGCUUAGCAUUGCCGAAGGUAUAGGUACUGUCCCUCCCAGGGGCAUUUGCAUGCAAAGUGUAUAAACUACAGAAAUAAAGGAGAGGUUUGGAUGAAGGUCA
Macaca mulatta (Rhesus monkey) is the source of this 4162-nucleotide non-coding RNA. Lineage: Eukaryota; Metazoa; Chordata; Mammalia; Primates; Cercopithecidae. The record is from RefSeq and is a predicted model, not a curated record.